Molecule: long non-coding RNA, 806 nt
Filed under: Eutrema salsugineum
Lineage: Eukaryota; Viridiplantae; Streptophyta; Magnoliopsida; Brassicales; Brassicaceae
Description: long non-coding RNA (ESAL_LNC001003)
Source: RNAcentral
CUCCACCACCACCAUACUACUACCACUCUCCUCCUCCUCCAGUCAAAUCACCACCGCCACCGUACUACUACCACUCCCCGCCUCCUCCGGUGAAAUCCCCACCACCACCAUAUUACUACCACUCACCACCUCCACCGGUGAAAUCUCCACCACCACCAUACUAUUACCACUCACCACCUCCUCCGGUGAAGUCUCCUCCACCACCAUACUACUAUCACUCUCCACCACCACCGGUGAAAUCUCCUCCUCCUUACUAUUAUCAUUCUCCACCUCCUCCGGUGAAAUCUCCUCCACCACCGUACUACUACCAUUCUCCACCUCCUCCAGUCAAGUCUCCACCACCACCGUACUACUAUCAUUCACCACCUCCUCCGGUGAAAUCUCCACCACCACCAUACUAUUACCACUCACCACCCCCACCUGUGAAAUCUCCUCCUCCACCAUACUACUAUCACUCACCUCCUCCUCCGGUGAAAUCUCCACCACCACCAUACUAUUACCAUUCACCACCCCCUCCAGUCAAAUCUCCUCCUCCACCAUACUACUACCACUCACCACCUCCUCCAGUGAAAUCUCCACCACCACCAUACUAUUACAACUCUCCACCACCACCGGUGAAAUCUCCUCCACCUCCAGUCUACAUCUACGCUUCUCCCCCACCUCCCACCCAUUACUAGGCUCAUCAAAUUCAACCAAAUUUCCCCAUUAUUCAAGUAAGUCCCCACGGUCCAAAACGUUCAAGUUACUCUUUAUCACCCACUUCAAUAUUACUUUGUCCUAAAAUCUCAGUUUCUUUCUUCACAGGU